This 491-nucleotide ribosomal RNA is filed under the name uncultured bacterium. RNAcentral's name for it is "partial 16S ribosomal RNA". It matches the Rfam family "Bacterial small subunit ribosomal RNA", at positions 29 to 507 of the family's 1533-position model. The record is from RNAcentral.
GUGAACGCUGGCGGUAGGCCUAACACAUGCCAGUCGAACGGCAGCACAGUAAGAGCUUGCUCUUACGGGUGGCGAGUGGCGGACGGGUGAGGAAUACAUCGGAAUCUACUUUUUCGUGGGGGAUAACGUAGGGAAACUUACGCUAAUACCGCAUACGACCUACGGGUGAAAGCAGGGGAUCUUCGGACCUUGCGCGAUUGAAUGGGCCGAUGUCGGAUUAGCUAGUUGGCGGGGUAAAGGCCCACCAAGGCGACGAUCCGUAGCUGGUCUGAGAGGAUGAUCAGCCACACUGGAACUGAGACACGGUCCAGACUCCUACGGGAGGCAGCAGUGGGGAAUAUUGGACAAUGGGCGCAAGCCUGAUCCAGCCAUACCGCGUGGGUGAAGAAGGCCUUCGGGUUGUAAAGCCCUUUUGUUGGGAAAGAAAAGCAGCAGGUUAAUACCCCGCUGUUCUGACGGUACCCAAAGAAUAAGCACCGGCUAACUUCGUG